GGGGAUUUAGCUCAAUGGUAGAGCGCUUGCCUAGGAAGCGCAAGGCCCUGGGUUCGGUCCCCAGCUCCCA
Molecule: transfer RNA, 70 nt
Filed under: Rattus norvegicus (Norway rat)
Lineage: Eukaryota; Metazoa; Chordata; Mammalia; Rodentia; Muridae
Rfam family: tRNA
About the family: Transfer RNA (tRNA) molecules are approximately 80 nucleotides in length. Their secondary structure includes four short double-helical elements and three loops (D, anti-codon, and T loops). Further hydrogen bonds mediate the characteristic L-shaped molecular structure. tRNAs have two regions of fundamental functional importance: the anti-codon, which is responsible for specific mRNA codon recognition, and the 3' end, to which the tRNAs corresponding amino acid is attached (by aminoacyl-tRNA synthetases). tRNAs cope with the degeneracy of the genetic code in two manners: having more than one tRNA (with a specific anti-codon) for a particular amino acid; and 'wobble' base-pairing, i.e. permitting non-standard base-pairing at the 3rd anti-codon position.
Source: Rfam by way of RNAcentral